Molecule: ribosomal RNA, 630 nt
Filed under: uncultured Sphingomonas sp.
Lineage: Bacteria; Pseudomonadati; Pseudomonadota; Alphaproteobacteria; Sphingomonadales; Sphingomonadaceae
Description: bacterial SSU rRNA
Rfam family: Bacterial small subunit ribosomal RNA
Source: RNAcentral
CGGGUAGUUAGUGGCGCACGGGUGCGUAACGCGUGGGAAUCUGCCCCUUGGUUCGGAAUAACAGUUGGAAACGACUGCUAAUACCGGAUGACGACGUAAGUCCAAAGAUUUAUCGCCGAGGGAUGAGCCCGCGUAGGAUUAGGUAGUUGGUGUGGUAAAGGCGCACCAAGCCGACGAUCCUUAGCUGGUCUGAGAGGAUGAUCAGCCACACUGGGACUGAGACACGGCCCAGACUCCUACGGGAGGCAGCAGUGGGGAAUAUUGGACAAUGGGCGAAAGCCUGAUCCAGCAAUGCCGCGUGAGUGAUGAAGGCCUUAGGGUUGUAAAGCUCUUUUACCCGGGAUGAUAAUGACAGUACCGGGAGAAUAAGCUCCGGCUAACUCCGUGCCAGCAGCCGCGGUAAUACGGAGGGAGCUAGCGUUAUUCGGAAUUACUGGGCGUAAAGCGCACGUAGGCGGCUUUGUAAGUAAGAGGUGAAAGCCCAGAGCUCAACUCUGGAAUUGCCUUUUAGACUGCAUCGCUUGAAUCAUGGAGAGGUCAGUGGAAUUCCGAGUGUAGAGGUGAAAUUCGUAGAUAUUCGGAAGAACACCAGUGGCGAAGGCGGCUGACUGGACAUGUAUUGACGCUGAG